UGGGGAAUAUUGGACAAUGGGCGCAAGCCUGAUCCAGCCAUGCCGCGUGAGUGAUGAAGGCCUUAGGGUUGUAAAGCUCUUUUGUCCGGGACGAUAAUGACGGUACCGGAAGAAUAAGCCCCGGCUAACUUCGUGCCAGCAGCCGCGGUAAUACGAAGGGGGCUAGCGUUGCUCGGAAUCACUGGGCGUAAAGGGCGCGUCGGCGGCUAUUUAAGUCGGGGGUGAAAGCCUGUGGCUCAACCACAGAAUUGCCUUUGAUACUGGAUAGCUUGCGUAUGGUAGAGGUUGGUGGAACUGCGAGUGUAGGGGUGAAAUUCGUAGAUAUUCGCAAGAAAACCGGUGGCGAAGGCGGCCAACUGGACCAUUACUUAAGCUGAGGCGCGAAAGCGUGGGGAGCAAACAGG
Molecule: ribosomal RNA, 404 nt
Filed under: bacterium
Lineage: Bacteria
Description: partial 16S ribosomal RNA
Rfam family: Bacterial small subunit ribosomal RNA
Source: RNAcentral